Long non-coding RNA from Cuculus canorus (common cuckoo), 837 nucleotides. RefSeq lists it as uncharacterized. Lineage: Eukaryota; Metazoa; Chordata; Aves; Cuculiformes; Cuculidae. The record is from RefSeq and is a predicted model, not a curated record. The transcript has 3 exons.
UCCGCUGCCGCGUGUCAGGAGCCGAGCGCCGCCGGCCCCGCGCCCGCGUGGGUUUUGCUGGGCUCUUCCCGUCUCAGGGAAGUGCCUCACCGCCUCCGACGGCCACCCCACCGCGGUACUCCGCGUCCUGCCGCUGGAUGCCGCCGAAAAAGCAAGAAGAAGCAGUGAGAGGGAAGUUACACAAGCGAUAUAACUUUGUAGGAGGAAUCAGACCAGCCAUAAAUCUGGCUUAAAUUACAGAAUAAUGAAUCAAUGGAACAGGAUUAUAAUGCUAAUUUAUUUUAGUAAAAAGUCAUGUGGCAUUUUGAGUACUGGACAACAAAAUUCUGGCUACUGCAGUAAAACCUUUCAACAGGAAGUGGUACAAGCAAUGUAACGGUUUUGUUUAACCAGAUGUGGACUACUGACACUUAGCAUGUGGAAUAACAGGUCAAAACUGUGGGACGCUUGAAUUCCAGACUUGUGGAAUUAGUAAAGAUGAAAAAUAAAGUGUUUGAUGCAUGCCAAAAUCCCAGGAAAAUACAAAGAACGAUCACAUGCAGAACUACAGUUAAUCUACAUUAAAUUUCAUUUUAUGGCUAUUAAAGAGCAAGAUUAAAGAGCACAGAGAAGUGGUACCUUCGUGCAUCCAUUCUCACAAGAAGUGUUUAAUCUGGCCAUUUGUAAUGGACUCUUGCAUCCAGCUAAUAACGAAAUGUACAUAUAAGGAAAAAAAAUCCCUUUUGAGUAUAGUAGGUGCAGAGUUUCACUCCUACAGCUUCAACUGCAUAAUUUAAAAUUUACUCCAGAUUACAUUCUCCAUACUGCAAAAUUUCAGUGUUUCAUUGUGAACAGCUU